RNAcentral lists this small RNA (535 nucleotides) under Pongo abelii (Sumatran orangutan). RNAcentral describes it as "processed transcript". Lineage: Eukaryota; Metazoa; Chordata; Mammalia; Primates; Hominidae. The record is from RNAcentral.
GUGCUAAUUGAGACUGGGAAGCGUUUGCCAAGGAUUGGAGCUGCAGACUCCAGUGCUCAGAGCAGCAGGAUGGCACUUGGUGUCUGGAUGCCUUUGGAGUUGCACAUACAGCUUCUUUAUGAAAGGAAGAAACUGGAAGACAACAAAGGCUGCAUCUUGGGGCUUCUCUGAGGACUCCUGUUUCCACCAAUAUCUACCUGUUGUGGUCCUCACUUUCACAGCCACAUGAAAAUGGACGUUUUGACAAUGGCUCACAGAUUCCUGGAGAUGUCUGGGAGGAAGCAGGAAGAAGCAAGAAGUCAUCAAAACUUGAAAAACCCUGAAUCAGUCAACAGAUAUCCAACAGAAAACGUGGGAGAAGAGGGAUAUGAAGCCAGCAGCUAACACUGGGAAAGUUCAGAUCAUCUCUAAUAAUAGAUCUUUAUAAACAACGAGUGGCAGAACUCAGAGAGUGGGAGAGUGUUCCCUGUCUAUAAUCCAGCCACAGGAGAACAGGUGUGUGAAGUUGAAGAAGCAGACAAGGCAGAUAUAGACA